RNAcentral lists this ribosomal RNA (253 nucleotides) under uncultured bacterium. RNAcentral's name for it is "partial 16S ribosomal RNA". It matches the Rfam family "Bacterial small subunit ribosomal RNA", at positions 524 to 776 of the family's 1533-position model. The record is from RNAcentral.
UACAGAGGGUGCGAGCGUUGUUCGGAAUUAUUGGGCGUAAAGGGCGCGUAGGCGGUGCGGUAAGUCACCUGUGAAAUCUCCUGGCUCAACUGGGAGCUUGCAGGCGAAACUGCCGUGCUGGAGUGUGGGAGAGGUGCGUGGAAUUCCUGGUGUAGCGGUGAAAUGCGUAGAUAUCAGGAGGAACACCUGUGGCGAAAGCGGCGCACUGGACCACAACCGACGCUGAGGCGCGAAAGCUAGGGGAGCAAACAGG